Molecule: ribosomal RNA, 446 nt
Filed under: uncultured bacterium
Lineage: Bacteria
Description: partial 16S ribosomal RNA
Rfam family: Bacterial small subunit ribosomal RNA
Source: RNAcentral
CCUACGGGAGGCAGCAGUCGAGAAUCAUUCACAAUGGGGGAAACCCUGAUGGUGCGACGCCGCGUGGGGGAAUGAAGGUCUUCGGAUUGUAAACCCCUGUCAUGUGGGAGCAAAUUAAAAAGAUAGUACCACAAGAGGAAGAGACGGCUAACUCUGUGCAAGCAGCCGCGGUAAUACAGAGGUCUCAAGCGUUGUUCGGAACCACUGGGCGUAAGGCGUGCGUAGGCUGUUGCGUAAGUCGUGUGUGAAAGGCGCGGGCUCACCCCGCGGACGGCACAUGAUACUGCGAGACUAGAGUAAUGGAGGGGGAACCGGAAUUCUCGGUGUAGCAGUGAAAUGCGUAGAUAUCGAGAGGAACACUCGUGGCGAAGGCGGGUUCCUGGACAUUAACUGACGCUGAGGCACGAAGGCCAGGGGAGCGAAAGGGAUUAGAUACCCCAGUAGUC